Molecule: ribosomal RNA, 256 nt
Filed under: uncultured Veillonellaceae bacterium
Lineage: Bacteria; Bacillati; Bacillota; Negativicutes; Veillonellales; Veillonellaceae
Description: partial 16S ribosomal RNA
Rfam family: Bacterial small subunit ribosomal RNA
Source: RNAcentral
CGAACGGGUGAGUAACGCGUGGGCAACCUGCCCUCUAGAUGGGGACAACAUCCCGAAAGGGGUGCUAAUACCGAAUGUGACAGCAAUCUCGCAUGAGGAUGCUGUGAAAGAUGGCCUCUAUUUAUAAGCUAUCGCUAGAGGAUGGGCCUGCGUCUGAUUAGCUAGUUGGUGAGGUAACGGCCCACCAAGGCGACGAUCCAUAGCCGACCUGAGAGGGUGACCGGCCACAUUGGGACUGAGACACGGCCCAGACUCC